CGGAGUGAGUAAUGUCUGGGAAACUGCCUGAUGGAGGGGGAUAACUACUGGAAACGGUAGCUAAUACCGCAUAACGUCGCAAGACCAAAGAGGGGGACCUUCGGGCCUCUUGCCAUCGGAUGUGCCCAGAUGGGAUUAGCUAGUAGGUGGGGUAACGGCUCACCUAGGCGACGAUCCCUAGCUGGUCUGAGAGGAUGACCAGCCACACUGGAACUGAGACACGGUCCAG
Molecule: ribosomal RNA, 229 nt
Filed under: uncultured bacterium
Lineage: Bacteria
Description: partial 16S ribosomal RNA
Rfam family: Bacterial small subunit ribosomal RNA
Source: RNAcentral